UACAGAGGGGGCAAGCGUUGUUCGGAAUUACUGGGCGUAAAGGGCGCGUAGGCGGCCUGUUAAGUCGAACGUGAAAUCCCCGGGCUCAACCCGGGAACUGCGUCCGAUACUGGCAGGCUUGAAUUCGGGAGAGGGAUGUGGAAUUCCAGGUGUAGCGGUGAAAUGCGUAGAUAUCUGGAGGAACACCGGUGGCGAAGGCGGCAUCCUGGACCAACACUGACGCUGAGGAGCGAAAGCCAGGGGAGCAAACGGG
RNAcentral lists this ribosomal RNA (253 nucleotides) under uncultured bacterium. RNAcentral describes it as "partial 16S ribosomal RNA". It matches the Rfam family "Bacterial small subunit ribosomal RNA", at positions 524 to 776 of the family's 1533-position model. The record is from RNAcentral.